Molecule: ribosomal RNA, 405 nt
Filed under: uncultured Spartobacteria bacterium
Lineage: Bacteria; Pseudomonadati; Verrucomicrobiota; Spartobacteria
Description: partial 16S ribosomal RNA
Rfam family: Bacterial small subunit ribosomal RNA
Source: RNAcentral
UCGAGAAUUUUUCACAAUGGGGGAAACCCUGAUGGAGCGACGCCGCGUGGAGGACGAAGGCCUUCGGGUCGUAAACUCCUGUCAUGCGGGAACAAGAAAGUGAUAGUACCGCAAGAGGAAGAGACGGCUAACUCUGUGCCAGCAGCCGCGGUAAUACAGAGGUCUCAAGCGUUGUUCGGAUUCAUUGGGCGUAAAGGGUGCGUAGGUGGCGAUGUAAGUCUGGUGUGAAAUCUCGGAGCUUAACUUCGAAAUUGCAUUGGAUACUGCGUUGCUUGAGGAUUGUAGAGGAGAGUGGAAUUCACGGUGUAGCAGUGAAAUGCGUAGAUAUCGUGAGGAAGACCAGUUGCGAAGGCGACUCUCUGGGCAAUUCCUGACACUGAGGCACGAAGGCCAGGGGAGCAAACG